This is an RNA transcript of Trichoplusia ni (cabbage looper), 2719 nucleotides long. It is a transcript of the gene named serine hydrolase-like protein 2, with no coding region annotated. The transcript is spliced from 8 exons. Lineage: Eukaryota; Metazoa; Arthropoda; Insecta; Lepidoptera; Noctuidae. The record is from RefSeq and is a predicted model, not a curated record.
AUCUUGUCAAGAUAUAGAAGAUCAUGGAACGAUAAAUGUAUUGAACUUUGAUCGAAGUUUGUAUGUUUAGCUUAUUGCAAACUAUGCAUCUCUUUUACACCUGUACGAAUGCAACAAGUAUUACCCUACGUCAAUAUUGACAAUGUUUAACAUCAUAAAUAUCGAAACAAACUGGAGACCAGGAUACGAAUACGAUAUUCUGUACUGUAUAUAAUAAAUAUUAAGUGUCUUGAUAACUUAAUCUUUAUUUAUGUAAAUCCAAAGGUUACGAAUAAUGCUAGAUUAAUUUGAAUAAAACUAAUAGACUGAAUGUUUAUAGGUUAAAAUGUAUACUUUUCGGGGUCUUUGUUAGGUUUUGGACGGUGCAUAUUUGAAAUCAAUAAAGUCGGACCGGGAGGCAAUAACUAGUAAAUCUAGACUUAUAGGUCAUUCUAGGGCGUUCCUGCGGGCCUUGCGACUAGACUGUGACUUCUGGACUAUUUUGUGAUAAAAUGGCAAAAAAAUUGAAAUUUGAGACUGAAUGGAAGAUUCCUGUGCCUUGGGGAGAGUUAGUUUUGCUUCGUUGUGGCAAGCCUGACGGUGAGCCAGUAAUGCUGAUUCAUGGACGUCAAGACAGUUCUACUGUCUUUGCCCCGAUCUUGGAGUACAUGCCAGAUAAAUACAAUUAUGUAGCCCUGGACAUGCCGGGGAAUGGACUGUCCACACCUCUGCCAACUGGUCCAAAGUUGACUCGGCUCCACUUCCUGAGCGCAAUGGAGUUCGCUGUGAGCCACCUCGGAUGGAACAAGUUCAUCUUUAUGGGGCAUUCCAUGGGUUGUGAACAGGGGUUAUUCUACAACACAGUGUACCCUGGCCGCAUCACUCGCAUGAUCCUGCUGGAUGCAGUCCCGACCUUAAUGCGAAUGCAGAUCACCGACCCCGCCGAGUUCCAACGGACUUACUACGACGAAUACUAUAAAAACUAUGCUAGAGACAACUUUUUUAAGAAGUGUCACACACGCACGUCGGCUAUGAGCGCGCUGCGUCGUCUGCGAGACCUGAGCGAGGCGCAGGCGGGGCAGCUGCUCCAGAGGAACUUCCACCCGAAGACCAGCGAGGAGAAGAGGGAACAGGAACUUCAAGAGCAGCAGCGGCAACAGGCCACAGACGCUGGCUUCGAUCGGAUGAUCGCGAGGAUCAACCAUCUGCGCGAAACUGACCCUGAGGGAUACCUAUCCUGGGACAAUCGCUUAAAAAACCUAGCACCAACCAACUUUGGAAACGAUUAUUACUUCCAACUCUUUAAAACGGUGCCCCCAACACUACUAAUCACAGCUAGUGAUGGGGCAAAGCACGUGCCAAAGAAAUGGCAUAAAGGGGCAUAUGAGUUAGUCGAUCGAUUACGAACACUUAAGAAUUUUCGAGAAGUGAAAGUUGUUGGUAGCCAUGAUGUGCAUUUUACGCAUCCAGAGAGGGUCGCGCCACAUGUGAUGAAGUUUUUGGUCGAAAAUAAUAACAUUAGUAGUAAAUUGUGAAUGUGAGUUGUCAAUUUUCUUGAGGUGGUGGGAAUAUUUUUGAUAUUUAAAUAUAUUUUUGAAAGUCUGGUUAAUUUAUUAAUGUUUAAUGUUUAUAUGACUGCACGGAUACGGUGCGAGACUCAUUACGGGCUCGGUCUCGCAGGACAAGCAUUUGUGUGAUCCACGAAUGCUUGUUCUGAGUCUAGGUGUCUUUGUACAUAUGACUUGAAUGUUUGUAAACAAGAAAAAUUAAUCCCUUAUCAGUAUAUUACUCUGAUAUAUAAUAAUGUACAAUUGUUGAUUUAAUGCCCUGAGGCAUAGUCAAAUAAAGUCUCUAUGGACAAUUGUAAUUUUUUGACCACAAGUUUUGGCAAGAAAUUUGACAGAUUCAUUUUUUAUGACCAAUAUAACAACAACAGUGAUUCUGGUUUUUAUCAAAAAUGAAGUAAAAUGAAAAGAAAUAAUUUAUUCUGCAAGUAGGAUAUAUCAUCACUUAAACAUGUCUUCUUUGAGAACACUGGAGUCGACAUUUCCUAUCUGACUACCAUGAGAAGAAAUGAAACAAAAUAGGAACGCGAUACCAGUAGGUCUCUAGAAGAACGCAUGUGUCUUCUAUUGGGCGAACCGGGACUCUAUGAGCAGAACCUUUUUACUGAUAACUUUUAAACUACUUUAGAAUAUUCGAAAUUGUACUUAAUGUCUGUACCCUUAAAGUCGUAUUUCGGUAAUCUGUUUUACAUAUUUUUUCGUUUAACUAUAGGUGUUUUGACAAUAACAAUCUGUUUAGUCCGUCAGAUUGAUUUCCCAAAUAUAUUUGAUACAUAAUUUUAAAGACAUAUCUUUGUAUUUUUUGGUGUUCAUAAAAGGUAAAAAUGCGUGUCGUUUUACCCAGCCUUCAUCCCUAUUCUAUUUACUAUAGGUACGUGUUUGUGUCACAGUACCUCCUAAAAGGCUGUUUCGAUUAAUAUGUCUUUCUUAGGCGUUUGUGUGGCGCCCUCGAUGGUUUAUCACAAAUCAACCCGGCCGAAACAAAAUCGCCGGAUUAGCUACUAAUGAGUGAAAAGGAUCGUAGGCAAGUCUUCCAUUAAACUUUUUUAUUAUUUGACGUGUCAUACUAUUAUAGUAUUCCUACUUCAUAUUAACAGAAAUUCUUAUUUAUUUUUAAGUGUAAUUUUGAGGAUCGGCGAUUUUUUUUUGUUACCUCCGUGUUCGAGUGGCGUACG